This is a long non-coding RNA of Oncorhynchus kisutch (coho salmon), 2519 nucleotides long. NCBI's taxonomy places the organism in Eukaryota, Metazoa, Chordata, Actinopteri, Salmoniformes, Salmonidae. The record is from Ensembl.
ACCGUGUGUGCUGCUGACACAAUACUAGUGGGUACACGCUCCCCCAACCGCACUGACGCACCUGUCGCUUGCCGCGCACACAGGUGUCGUGCCUGGCUGCUUGUAUGUUGCAGGAGAUAGAGGAGAGGAGCACGCGAUUUUGCUAAAUCCAAAUAGUGGCGGGAAGAUCAUCUUCAAGAUGAGGACUGCGUUGCUUUGUUUUGCUUUGGGGGUGAUGCUGCGAAGAACUGAGGCGAAGGAUUGUGCGUGUACUGGGAAGUCCAUGUGUCACUGUGAAGGAGUCAAAGGCAACAAGGUAACCAGAACACCAGCACACAGCUUUGAGACUGUAUUGAUUUAGAAUCAAUCAAUUUAAUACUACAUUAUUUAUGCCUCAUGAUCACUGUUAUUUCUCUCCAUGAUCUACACACACUCACGCACGCACGCACACACACACACACACACACACACACACACACACACACACACACACACACACACACACACACACACACACACACACACACACACACACACACACACACACACACACACACACACAGGGAGAAAGGGGUUGUGCAGGAGAGACGGGUCCACCUGGGUCGGUUGGGCAUCCAGGCUCAGAGGGUCACCUUGGACCUGUGGGGCCAAAGGGAGAUGUGGGCCCUCGUGGACCUCCAGGAACAGAUGGCGAUCGGGUAACUUUCCACAAAUAUCUUUGCUGAUAUGUAAAUGGUAUAAGUGUGUGAGUGUGUGUCUGUGUGUGUGUGUGUGUGUGUUUUCUGUAUAUUUAGUAAAUCUACAGUCCUGUUUAUUUCUUCAGGGACCUGAAGGCAAAGAAGGAUUUUCUGCGACACCAGGUCUACCGGUAAGAGUGUGUGUGUGUGUGUGUGUGUGUGUGUGUGUGUGUGUGUGUGUGUGUGUGUGUGUGUGUGUGUGUGUGUGUGUGUGUGUGUGUGUGUGUGUGUGUGUGUGUCUUUGUCAGUGUAAUAUUUACCUGACUUUUCCCCUAGGGCAUCCCAGGCCUUCAAGGACCAAUGGGCCAACCAGGUUCCCCAGGAUGCAAUGGGACAGAGGGUGAGAGAGGUGCUACUGGUCCAGCUGGUCCCUGUGAUGGUGAUGAUGGAUUAAGAGUAAGAUGGAUGGUUACACAACUUUUUAUUUUAUUUGUGUGUUUAACUACUGUCUGUCAUAAUAUGCUUUUUUUUGUCAUGUACAUAUUUGUCUUUCUUCUUUUUUUUUAGGGUUUACCUGGAGCACCUGGACCAAAGGUAAUCUCUGUGGCUCUUCUUCCUUCUCUUCUUCAUCAUCAUCAUCAUCAUUGUCAUUAUAAUUAUCAGCAGAAUUAACAUUUUGUGUGCAUGUGUGUGUGUGUAUGUGUGUGCAGGGUGAAUCCCAAAUGUUAAUUGGGUUUGGACAGUCAGGGAGACCUGGACCCCGAGGAAGGGACGGUGACCAGGUAACUCACAGCAACCCAUAAUAUAGCAUCACUCUGUUCCUCUGUCUAUCUUCUCCUCAAGCUUCAGUUCCGUCCUCCACUUCCUCUAUACUUCCUCUAUAUUCUAUACUUCUAUCCUCUAUAUUGUAGGGGGCCGUCUUUCGGAUGGGACAUUAAACGGGUGUCCUGACUCUCUGAGGUCAUUAAAGAUCCCAUGACACUUAUCGUAAGAGUAGGGGUGUUAACCCCGGUGUCCUGGCUAAAUUCCCAAUCUGGCCCUCAAACCAUCAUGGUCACCUAAUAAUCCCCAGUUUACAAUUGGCUCAUUCAUCCCCCUCCUCUCCCCUGUAACUAUUCCCCAGGUCGUUGCUGCAAAUGAGAACGUGUUCUCAGUCAACUUACCUGUCUUCCUGCAUGUGUAGAGAUCAGAGAGGUUUUGAUGGGUGUAUAUGUGUAGCAGAAACUCACUCCUCAGCCCGCCCUGAAGUGUUGCCCCUUAUGCCAUUGAAGAAGGUCUUAAUUGGUGGCGCGUUAGGUUGAAAUACUCCAUGAAGGUGGUCACGUGUUUGCGAGGCAGAUGUCCCGAGUUUGAGCCAGGUAUGAGCCCGAUCGGAGGGAAUCAGAGGUAUUCACUAAGCAAGCAAUAUGGUAAUACGGAUCACCUUGUAUACUGAUAGGCAAGAUGACAGUUUCACUAUGAAAACACUAAUCAAAUCCUCUCAGACAUCAACUAGUGCAUUAUGGGUUAUGGGCUGGGCAUUCUUCUCUUCUCCUAAUCAGAAGCUAGGUUUCCAUGUCAAUAUUCUCAAAUCUGCAAAAAGAAAAUAUGUGCAUUUUCCCACCAGAUGUGUGUCCACCAAACAGAUUUUUUUUUUUUUUGCGUAUAAAAAUCAGUGUGUGAUGACGUAGUGCACGCGAAAUGAAUUUUUUUUCACUUACGUUUUCAUAUACCGAAUAAAAAUAUAAUAAUAAAUAUAACAAUGUGUGCCAUUGCAUUUUCAACUAGUCACAAACUGUUGUGUUAAAUAGAAAAUGUGUGUCUCUGUGUGUCUCUGGUCUUGUUAUGUGUGCUCUAGCCAACAGCUCACAGACACAAUGUGGG